Molecule: long non-coding RNA, 2156 nt
Organism: Pseudoliparis swirei
Lineage: Eukaryota; Metazoa; Chordata; Actinopteri; Perciformes; Liparidae
Exons: 2
Source: RefSeq, a predicted model, not a curated record
UUAGGUUUGGACUGUAUCUGCUCUUUCUUUCAUACCUCCCCAGCAUUUCACCGCGGUGUGUAUAUACGGUAUAUGAGGUCACUGUGUCACGAGAAUGACAUUAGCUUGAUCACUUUAAUGGGAAUAUUAACCAGUAAUAUGACUAUUGCUAUAUACAUUACUCACCUUAAGUACUGAGGCAUCCAUGGUGAAAGGAGUCAAAGAAUGUGAGAAUCGAGUGAGAAGUAGAGUCAUUCUCUUCUAUACAACCAAAGGAGAGUAAAUCUCUCAUAGACUUCUAUACAACCAAAGGAGAGUUGUUAUAUCAUAGACCCCUAUAGGACCAAAGGAGAGCAAAUCUCAUAGACUUCUAUACAAUCAAAGGUGAGUUAAUCUCUCAGACUUCUAUACAACAAAAGGAGAGUAAAUCUCUCAUAGACUUCUAUACAACCAAAGGAGUCAAUCUCUCAGUCUUUUAUAAAAACCAAUAGAGUCAAUCCGUCAUAUACUUAUAUACAACCAAAGGACAUUAGAUAUCUCAUAUACUUCUAUACAACCAAACAAGAGUACAUCUCUCAUAGACUUAUAUACAACCAAAGGAGAGUACAGCUCUCAUAGACUUCAAUAAAACCAAAGGAGAGUCAAUCUAUCAUAAACUUAUACACAACCAAAGGAGUUAAUCUCUUCUAGACUUCUAUACAGCCAAAGGAGCCGAUCACUAGAGAGAAUCCAAGUUGAAGUCACUUCUGUAUCGGCUUUACUUUUCAGAGCCGAGACUCAGCGUCCCGUCGUAGACGGACUGAGACAAAGCUAGAAAGCGUGAACUGAAGCGCUCCGCAUCCCGACAGCAAGUGGAGCGAGAACACAGCUUCAGACCAAGCAGGAAAUUCACAAAGAUGUUCCCAAUUUCCCAAGAUGCCAAUUAGUCCCCCCCAGCCCGAGGGCCGGGUUGGACAGCAGCUGGCCUUCCAGCAUCAUGGGGUGUGUUUGACUGGCUCUCACACAUCUAGUCUCUCAACAGAAAACCAGUCAGACGUAUCACAGCUCGUCCUCAAGCCGGCAGAGGGCUCAUGAAGCGGAAAGGAUGCCUUUACUGAUAGACAUUAAUAAUAUAUAUAUAUAGAUAGAUUUUUUGCAUGAGUCCAGGUCCUGCGAUAACAAAACGCCGAAGGAAAGAAGUGAUAGGGGGGUCCGGGGUAUGCCUGCCAGAAAUGUUCUUUUAUAAGUUUAAUUUUUGCUGCAUUCUGGCAAUGAUUUUAAUUUAUGAAUGAAAACUUUACAAACAUCUAACCUUCCAAAGAUAUGCCAUUUCUCUCCUUGACGAACAAAAAAGACGUACUUGUUUUUAAGUAUCCGACAAUUCUAUUCACUUCUGAAUAAAAAAGAACACAAAUAACUGCACUUAUUAUCUUAAAACUUUGAAUUCUCAUCCCGUUCAUCUUAACAUGCUGUAUGUGCAUGCACAAGGCCUCUCAUUCUCAAAACACUGAACAACCUCUUUCCCAAAAGGCAGAUACGACUGAAAAGCAUCCUUUAGGCAUGGAAUCCAUAAUACAAAAUAAAUAGAACAUAACAAGGUCAUUGAGAAUCAGGAAGAACCCAUUAUUACCUUCGAUUUGAAAAUGCGGAAGGUUAUGUUUUGAUCGCCGUGUAUUUAUUUAUUUAUUUAUAUGCGUGUUAUUCGCAUAACAAAAAAAGUUUUAAACCGAAUCGCAUGAAAUUUGGUGGGAUGAUUGGUUCUUAUCCGGGGACCAUUUGAUUAGAUUUUGGGAUCAAUCGGGUCAAAGGUUAAGGUCAAGGUCAUGGAAAGGUCAACAUCUUCUUUUUACCAUAGCACGGUCAAUUUGUAUCCAAUUGGCAUGCAACUAAUGCCAAAAUGUUCAUAAUUCAAUGCCCAAUCUUGUCAUAUGCGAAGGUAUGCGCUCUACCGAGUGCCCGUUCUAGUUUCCACCAUGCCAACGUCCUUCUGUAAACAACUGCCUGGAGGAUGUGUUCAGGGCCCCACGAUUGAGCUUCUAUGUGUGUAGAAUGUCUUUGAUGGACUCCGUAUUUUCUUUUGAUCAAAUUACUCUAUUGUAUGUACUUUGUCCUAUCUUUUAAUCAUACUCUAUUUCCUUUUAUUGACGUUGUACACACUGAAUGAGUAUACAUGUAUAUUAAAUGCGCUACAGAAAUAU